GUCCCUAUAGCACAUUGGAUAGUGCUUUGGACUUCUAACCCAAAGGUUCGAAUCCCACCUGGGAUG
Trichonephila inaurata madagascariensis is the source of this 66-nucleotide non-coding RNA. The record is from the annotation of a GenBank genome assembly. NCBI's taxonomy places the organism in Eukaryota, Metazoa, Arthropoda, Arachnida, Araneae, Nephilidae.